Molecule: ribosomal RNA, 292 nt
Filed under: uncultured bacterium
Lineage: Bacteria
Description: partial 16S ribosomal RNA
Rfam family: Bacterial small subunit ribosomal RNA
Source: RNAcentral
GUGUCAGCAGCCGCGGUAAUACGGGGGGGGCAAGCGUUGUUCGGAAUUACUGGGCGUAAAGGGCGCGUAGGCGGCCUUCUAAGUCGGACGUGAAAUCCCUCGGCUUAACCGAGGAACUGCGUCCGAUACUGAAAGGCUUGAAUCCGGGAGAGGGAUGUGGAAUUCCAGGUGUAGCGGUGAAAUGCGUAGAUAUCUGGAGGAACACCGGUGGCGAAGGCGGCAUCCUGGACCGGCAUUGACGCUGAGGCGCGAAAGCUAGGGGAGCAAACGGGAUUAGAAACCCCCGUAGUCC